CUUUUGACCUCAAAUCAGGUAGGACUACCCGCUGAACUUAA
RNAcentral lists this ribosomal RNA (41 nucleotides) under Dendrocollybia racemosa. RNAcentral describes it as "partial large subunit ribosomal RNA". The record is from RNAcentral. Lineage: Eukaryota; Fungi; Basidiomycota; Agaricomycetes; Agaricales.